RNAcentral lists this ribosomal RNA (403 nucleotides) under uncultured bacterium. RNAcentral describes it as "partial 16S ribosomal RNA". It matches the Rfam family "Bacterial small subunit ribosomal RNA", at positions 28 to 526 of the family's 1533-position model. The record is from RNAcentral.
GACGAACGCUGGCGGCGUGCCUAAUACAUGCAAGUCGAACGCAGUGGGGACGGGUGAGUAACACGUGGCUACACUCACAUCAGAGGGGAUAAAAAUUGGAAACAGGUGCUAAAACGAUACUGAUGGAUGGACACGCGGUGCAGUAGCUAGUUGGGUAGGUAACGGCUCACCAAGGCCACGAUGCAUAGCCGACCUGUGAGGGUGAUCGGCCAACCGGGGACUGAGAGACGGCCCAGCCUCCUACGGGAGGCAGCAGUAGGGAAUCUUCGGCAAUGGACGAAAGUCUGACCGAGCAACGCCGCGUGAGUGAAGAAGGUUUUCGGAUCGUAAAACUCUGUUGUUAGUGAAGCGGUAUCUAACCAGAAAGCCACGGCUAACUACGUGCCAGCCGCCGCGGUAAUAC